CAUCGCCUCCUGCUUAUAGUAACAUAGGAGGUCCCGCCUGCCCUGUGACCAAAAGUUUAACGGCCGCGGUAUUUUAACCGUGCAAAGGUAGCGCAAUCAAUUGUCUUUUAAAUGGAGACCUGUAUGAAUGGCAUAACGAGGGUUUUACUGUCUCUUUUUUCUGGUCAAUGAAACUGAUCUGCCCGUGCAGAAGCGGGCAUAAUAACACAAGACGAGAAGACCCUAUGGAGCUUUAGACGCCCACCAACCGCGAAGAGCACCCCGACGACGGGCCACCAAAUAACGCGACCAUGGUAUAAACGUCUUCGGUUGGGGCGACCACGGGGGAACACAAAGCCCCCGAGAGGAUUGGGGAUCCAACCCUAAAACCAAGAGCCACAGCUCUAAGUCACAAAACAUUUGACCCAGAAUGAUCCGGCUCAUUGCCGAUCAACGGACCAAGUUACCCUAGGGAUAACAGCGCAAUCCUCUCCCAGAGUCCAUAUCGACGAGAGGGUUUACGACCUCGAUGUUGGAUCAGGACAUCCUAAUGGUGCAGCCGCUAUUAAGGGUUCGUUUGUUCAACGAUUAAAGUCCUACGUGAUCU
This 586-nucleotide ribosomal RNA is filed under the name Sardinella gibbosa. RNAcentral's name for it is "partial 16S ribosomal RNA". It matches the Rfam family "Bacterial large subunit ribosomal RNA", at positions 1814 to 2606 of the family's 2925-position model. The record is from RNAcentral. Lineage: Eukaryota; Metazoa; Chordata; Actinopteri; Clupeiformes; Clupeidae.